UGGUCCUGGCCUUGAAAUCAGUUUUUACCCUAUUUAUACAUGCAAGUCUCCGCACCCCUGUGAGAACGCCCUUAAUUUCUAUUUGAAACAAGGAGCCGGUAUCAGGCACAAAAAUUAGCCCAAGACACCUAGUCACGCCACACCCACAAGGGAAUUCAGCAGUAAUCAACAUUGUUCAUAAGCGACAGCUUGACCCAGUUAUAGUAAAGAGGGCAGGCAAACCUGGUGCCAGCCGCCGCGGUUACACCAUGAGGCCCAAAUUGAUUUUUUUCGGCGUAAAGAGUGAUUUAAGUGUAUUCUUACCCUGUAGUCAAACUACUAUUAAGUAGUGAUAAGCUUAUAUAUAGGAAGCCCGAAAACGAAAGUUACUACACCUACAACUACUUGAACUCACCACAGCUGAGGCACAAACUAGGAUUAGAGACCCUACUAUGCUCAACCUCAAACUUUCAAUUACACCUCAAACGCCAGGGAACUACGAGCAAAGCUUAAAACCCAAAGGACUUGACGGUGCCCCAUAUCCCCCUAGAGGAGCCUGUCCUAUAAUCGAUAACCCCCGUUUUACCUCACCACUUUUAGCCUAGUCAGUCUGUAUACCUCCGUCGCCAGCUUACCACGUGAGUGAAAGACAGUAAGUAUAAUGUCUCUCGUCCAUACGUCAGGUCAAGGUGCAACUCAUAAAGUGGAAAGAGAUGGGCUACACUUUCUAAUAUAGAAUAAACGGAAAACUACUUGAAAACUAGUUUAAAGGCGGAUUUAGUAGUAAAAAAGAACUAGAGAGCCUUUUUUAAUUCGGCCCUGGGGUGUGUACACACCGCCCGUCACCCUCUUCGUAACUACCCAUUAGUAUCUAACAAGAUUUUUUCAAUAGAAGAGGCAAGUCGUAACAUGGUAAGUAUACCGGAAGGUGUGCUUGGAAA
This 920-nucleotide non-coding RNA is filed under the name Boana cinerascens (Demerara Falls treefrog). RNAcentral describes it as "partial 12S ribosomal RNA". It matches the Rfam family "Bacterial small subunit ribosomal RNA". The record is from RNAcentral. Lineage: Eukaryota; Metazoa; Chordata; Amphibia; Anura; Hylidae.